Molecule: transfer RNA, 25 nt
Filed under: Leptatherina presbyteroides
Lineage: Eukaryota; Metazoa; Chordata; Actinopteri; Atheriniformes; Atherinidae
Description: partial tRNA-Pro
Source: RNAcentral
GGAUUCUAAGUUAAACUAUUCUUGG